CAAAAUGUAGCUUAAUUUAUUAAAGCAUUUAGUUUACACCUAAAAGAUUUCAGUCUAACCUGACCAUUUUGA
RNAcentral lists this transfer RNA (72 nucleotides) under Didelphis virginiana (North American opossum). RNAcentral describes it as "tRNA-Val". It matches the Rfam family "tRNA". From Rfam's summary of the family: Transfer RNA (tRNA) molecules are approximately 80 nucleotides in length. Their secondary structure includes four short double-helical elements and three loops (D, anti-codon, and T loops). The record is from RNAcentral. Lineage: Eukaryota; Metazoa; Chordata; Mammalia; Didelphimorphia; Didelphidae.